GGAAACUCACCAACAUGUAAGGAGAGAGAAUGAGUGGGAAAUAAAAGAAUGUGCAGGUGGGUCCCACUGGGUAGGAAUUUGAGGGUGAGUAUAAAUAGAAUGAUUGAGAAAUAGGGAUAGGUAUCUUUUUGGUUAUCUUUUAGAAAAGGGAGGCGGCAGCAGCCGAUAGGAGAGGGGUAUCCUUCUUGUGAAGGGUGCAGGUUUGUUCUUAUUGUUCAUUGUUCUUGUUUUCAUUCCUUAUUGUAGCUGUAACUUUGGGCUAUAUAUAUAAAUAAAGGAUCACAGGGUGCUGUCUCUGUUUAGCCAUAGUUGGGUAUUUUAUUAAAAAGGGUGUAGAAUCCUAACAUUUGGUAUCAGAGCCCGACAAAAAGAGAAAAAAAAACUGGGGGUGGUGACGCGUCGCAUGGCACAAAGACAAAUGGUGGAACGAAUGGAAGGAACCGAGAAGGAGCUGCUGAGCAUGAAAGAAAUGCUACUGGAAAUGAAGAAAUCUAUGGAAAGACUGACAGAGGAACUAAGAGAGAAUCAUAGCUAUAAGAAAAGAGAUGAAUCCGGAACAUCUGAUGGAUCCAGCAUGAAGUUGAAAGGAAAAGUAGAAGAAUCGGAAGUCUGUAAUGAGGUAAAUGGAAGCAAUGUGGAUCGAAGUAAGUACGCAAAGUUAGAAAUGCCUAUGUUCUUAGGUGAAAAUCCAGAAUCCUGGGUAUAUAGAGCAGAACAUUUCUUUGAGAUGAACAACCUGCCAGAAAACGAGAAGAUCAGAGUGGCGGUGGUCAGUUUUGGGCAAGAGGAAGUGGACUGGUACAGGUGGACGCAUAAUAGGAAGAAAGUAGAGUCAUGGGAAGAUUUGAAAGGGAGGAUGUUUGAUUUCUUCAAGGACUCGGGACAAACAAGUCUAGUGGCACGCUUGAUUAGGAUUCAACAAGAUGGAUCCUACAGUGAGUAUGUGAAGAAAUUUGUCACAUAUUCAGCUCCCCUCCCUCACAUGGAGGAAAGUGUGUUACGAGAUGCUUUUCUGACCGGUCUGGAACCCAAUCUUCAGGCAGAAGUCGUUAGUCGUUUCCCUCGAACAUUGGAAGAUUGUAUGAGGGAGGCUCAACUAGUCAAUGAUCGGAAUGUAGCAAUGAAAUUGACUAAGACCGAGGGCAGGACAGUGGACCAAAGAAAAAAGAAGAGUAUGCAGGAAAAAUCCAAGAUGGAACAGACAAAGGCUACAUGAGGAGGACAGAUUUCCCCAUAAAACAAGUAACUAUACCUAUUAAGGGUAGUUAUCAAAAAAGUGAACCUCCUAUCAAACGACUUUCAGACGCAGAAUUCAGGUCCAGAUUGGAUAAGGGCCUAUGUUUUAAAUGCAAUGAGAAAUAUACACCAGGGCACAGAUGUAGAGUGAAGGAAAAAAGGGAGCUGAUGUUAUUUAUCAUGAAUGAAGAGGAGAGCAAGGAAGAGGAAGGCAAGAUGGAAGAGGAACCAGGGGAAACAGUGGAAUUAAACCAUCUGGAUUUUGCUGAAGGGGAGGAAAUAGAAUUGAAGACAAUCCAUGGGAUGGCAUCGAAGGGAACGAUGAAGCUGAAGGGAAAUAUAAAGGGCAAAUGAGUGAUAGUGCUGAUUGAUAGUGGAGCAACCCAUAAUUUUAUACAUAACCGGACAGUAAAGGAAAAGAACUUAUAUCUGGAAAAAGGUAACCCGUUUGCAGUUACAAUUGGAGAUGGCACCAAGUGUACAGGCAAGGGUGUUUGCAAGAGAGUGGAAUUGGAACUACAAGGGGUGGUGGUGGUGGCUGAUUUUUUUGCUAUUGAGUUGGGAAAUGUGGAUGUAAUAUUGGGUAUGCAGUGGCUGGAUACAACAGGCACCAUGAAGAUUAGGCAAACAGAAAAUUAUCUUGAAAGGAGACCCAUCCCUCAUCCAAGCAGAAUGUUCCCUGAAAACCAUUGAGAAAACGUGGGAAAAUGAAGAUCAGGGUUUUCUGUUGGAAUUCCAAAAGUAUGAAGUAGACACGGAGGUGGAAGCGGAGCAGGAAAUGAAAGGGGACGAGGAAGAGAUUCCAAUGAUUAAAAAUCUGUUACAACAGUAUGCAGACAUCUUUGAGGAUCCAAAGAAACUACCCCCUAAGAGAGAAAUAGAUCACCGUAUAUUGGUUUUACCGAACCAAAGGCCCAUCAAUGUCAGACCAUAUAAAUAUGGUUAUGUACAGAAGGAGGAAAUUGAGAAAUUGGUGGUGGAAAUGCUGCAAGCAGGUGUGAUACGUCCCAGUCAUAGCCCUUACUCCAUCCCUGUUUUAUUGGUCAAAAAGAAAGAUGGAGGGUGGCGCUUUUGUGUAGAUUACCGGAAACUCAACCAAGUAACCAUAUCGGACAAAUUUCCUAUCCCAGUGAUAGAAGAACUGCUGGAUGAAUUACAUGGAGCCACGGUUUUCUCAAAACUAGAUCUGAAGUCCGGUUACCAUCAAAUAAGGAUGCAGAAGGAAGAUGUUGAGAAGACCGCGUUCAGAACACAUGAGGGUCACUAUGAAUUUCUGGUAAUGCCCUUCGGUCUUACAAACGCACCAGCCACCUUCCAGUCCUUGAUGAAUCAGGUAUUCAAACCUUUUUUAAGAAGGUGUGUAUUGGUAUUCUUCGAUGAUAUACUUGUAUAUAGCAAGGAUAUAUCAGAACAUGAGAAACAUCUAGGGAUGGUAUUUGCAGUGUUGAGGGAUAACCAUCUAUUUGCAAAUAAGAAGAAGUGUGUCAUAGCUCACUCCAAAAUCCAAUAUUUGGGGCAUAUAACUUCGAGUAAAGGAGUACAGGCUGAUGAGGAGAAGAUCAAAGACAUGGUGAAAUGGCCUCAGCCGAAAGAUGUCACGGGUCUGAGAGGAUUUCUGGGAUUAUCGGGCUAUUAUCGUAGGUUUGUGAAAGGAUACGGAGAAAUUGCAGCCCCCUUGACCAGAUUGUUGCAAAAGAAUUCUUUUGCGUGGGAUGAACAAGCAACCGAGGCUUUUGAAAAAUUAAAGAUGGCCAUGACUACUAUCCCGAUGCUAGCACUGCCGAAUUGGGAUCUACCUUUUUUAAUCGAAACAGAUGCUUCAGGGACAGGAUUGGGAGCUGUACUUUCACAGAAUGGUCACCCCAUAGCCUUCUUCAGCCAGAAAUUGUCGACACGAGCCCAGGCCAAGUCCAUUUACGAAAGAGAACUGAUGCCUGUAGUAUUAUCAGUGCAGAAAUGGCGUCAUUAUCUAUUAGGAAGGAAGUUUACAAUUAUCUCAGAUCAAAAGGCAUUGAAAUUUCUCCUUGAGCAGAGGGAAGUACAACCCCAAUUUCAGAAAUGGCUGACCAAACUGCUGGGAUACGAUUUUGAAAUAUUAUACCAACCUGGAUUACAAAACAAAGCAGCAGAUGCCCUUCCUAGGAUGGAAUAUCCGCUGGAAGUAAACUCCUUGACGACAACUGGCAUUGUAGACAUGGAAGUGAUAGACAAGGAAGUCAACCAAGAUGAGGAAUUACAGAAAACCAUUAAAGAAUUGAAACAGAAUCCAGAGGGAAUUAGCAAAUUUAGCUGGGAGAAUGGGAAACUGUUCUACAAGAAGAGAGUAGUAUUAUCAAAGAAGUCGUCAGUGAUUCCCACAUUGCUGCAUACAUUCCAUGACUCCAUCUUAGGAGGACACUCGGGAUUCUUGAGGACAUAUAAAAGGAUGAGCGGAGAGCUGUACUGGGAGGGAAUGAAGGCUGAUAUUAAGAAAUAUGUGGAACAGUGUGAGAUUUGUCAAAGAAACAAAUAUGAGGCGACGAAACCAGCAGGGGUAUUACAUCCACUUCCUGCUCCGGAAGCCAUACUAGAAGAAUGGUCAAUGGAUUUCAUAGAAGGGUUACCGAAGGCAGGGGGAAUGAAUGUGAUAAUGGUGGUGGUAGACAGAUUGAGCAAGUAUGCUUAUUUCAUCACUAUGAAGCACCCUUUCACAACUAAACAAGUGGCGACGACAUUCAUUGAAAAGAUCAUCAGCAAGCAUGGGGUUCCAAAAUCCAUAGUAUCCGACAGGGAUAAAGUUUUCAUUAGUCAUUUUUGGAAGGAGUUAUUUACAACUAUGGGAACUAAACUGAAAAGAAGCACGGCAUUCCACCCACAAACAGAUGGGCAAACGGAAAGGGUAAACCAAUGUCUGGAGACAUACUUGAGAUGCUUUUGCAAUGAGCAACCUCAAAGGUGGCAUAAGUUCAUUCCAUGGGCUGAACUGUGGUAUAACACUACUUUCCAUUCAUCCAUACGUUCCAACCCUUUCAAGAUCGUAUAUGGAAGGCAACCACCCCCGAUUCUAUCCUACGGAACCCGAAAAACUCAGAAUGAUGAGGUAGAAAUAAUGCUCAAGGAGAGAGAUCUGGCAUUGAACGCCUUGAAGGAGAACCUUCAGUUAGCCCAAAACCGCAUGAAGAAAUGGGCAGACACCAAAAGAAGGGAAUUGAAGUUCAAGGUGGGUGAUGAAGUAUACCUAAAGCUCAGACCUUAUAGGCAGAGAUCCUUAGCUCGGAAAAGGUGUGAAAAGCUGGCGCCAAAAUUCUACGGGCCUUACACAAUCAUUGAAGAGAUAGGAGAGGUGGCCUAUAGAUUGAAACUUCCACCAGAGGCGAGUAUUCAUGAUGUGUUCCACAUCUCACAGUUGAAGCUCAAGUUAGGUAAGCAGAAGGUUGUGCAGCAACAGCAACCUAUGUUGACAACAGAUUUCGAAUUACAACUAUGGCCAGAACAGGUAUUGGGAAUUCGCUGGAACAAAGAAUUGGGAGCUAACGAAUGGCUAGUCAAGUGGAAGAAUUUACCAGAAACUGAAGCCACAUGGGAAGCUGUCUAUCAAAUGAAUCAACAGUUUCCCACAUUCCACCUUGAGGACAAGGUGAAUUUGGAACCGAGGGGUGUUGUGAGACCCCCAAUCAUACAUACGUAUGUUAGGAAGGGUAAGAAGGGAAACUCACCAACAUGUAAGGAGAGAGAAUGAGUGGGAAAUAAAAGAAUGUGCAGGUGGGUCCCACUGGGUAGGAAUUUGAGGGUGAGUAUAAAUAGAAUGAUUGAGAAAUAGGGAUAGGUAUCUUUUUGGUUAUCUUUUAGAAAAGGGAGGCGGCAGCAGCCGAUAGGAGAGGGGUAUCCUUCUUGUGAAGGGUGCAGGUUUGUUCUUAUUGUUCAUUGUUCUUGUUUUCAUUCCUUAUUGUAGCUGUAACUUUGGGCUAUAUAUAUAAAUAAAGGAUCACAGGGUGCUGUCUCUGUUUAGCCAUAGUUGGGUAUUUUAUUAAAAAGGGUGUAGAAUCCUAACAGAAGCAUUCAUCAACUUCUGGGAAAACAAUGGAGAACUCAAAGGGAAAGUCACUAAAUUCAUCCAAUGAUCAGGGCAGUGAAUCCAAGUCAGGAAAGAAAAGAAGAAGAGAGUCAAAAGGUUGAUAACCACGUCUA
This 5403-nucleotide long non-coding RNA is filed under the name Cucumis sativus (cucumber). RNAcentral describes it as "long non-coding RNA (CSAT_LNC001739)". The record is from RNAcentral. Lineage: Eukaryota; Viridiplantae; Streptophyta; Magnoliopsida; Cucurbitales; Cucurbitaceae.